UUUGUUGUGUUUUUUCCCAAGUUCUCAGCAUAAAAGAAAAAUGUGAGGAAGUAUCCAGCAUCGGAAAAGAUUCUUCUGUUCCAGCUGUUCUAUUAUGACAGCUUGAGCCAUUGAACGUUCUGUCUCCUUUUGAGCUGCUCCUUUUCCUGUCUUGUUUCUCCAGCUUGACAGCUAAUUUGUUGGCUUCCUGCUCAGUUCUGCCUUCCUUCACUUUUCUUUCAUAGCCUGUUUUCUAGCUUUUCUAUUCUCCGUGCUCUCAUUUUUGGAACACGUCUGUAUGGAUACUUUUGGCAGGUCAAUGUUGUUAAUCACUUGCAUGCGUUCAGUCUACUUUGCUGUAAGACCUCUAAUAUGCAGUCAGAUUCCAGACUUGCUGGAAAUUAUGAUUGGUUUGGACAUUGGGAGGUUCUCAGUAAGUUUUGAGUGAUCAAACAAUUUAGAGCAUAUACUCCAAGCAGAUUUUCAGUCUUAUUUUCCUUUAGGUUUCCUAUUAACUAAAGCUGAGAUUUCCACCUCUUCCUUUAUUUCUCAUUGAGGAAGUGCAAGAAACAGAAUAAAAAAGUCCUCAGAGACUCCAUUAGUGAUUGGAGUUGGUUCAAUAGAGUUCCUUCUCAGGAGAAAAAAUUAUGAAGAAUACUAUAUGUAUAUAGAAAUAAGAGUCCCUGGUCACCUGACCUCCUGGCCAGCUGAACCAGUCACCUGCUGUUGCUUGACAACCCGGCUCAGAGUUGAUCAUGAUCAGGUCAUGGGACUUCACUAUUGAACCUUCUUUGAGAAAAUCUUUAGUCUGGAGAUGCUUUAGUCUGGAGAAGAAAUUCCCUCCCAGUCUUCUAACAGAAGCCUUCAACUCCCUGAAGUGGGGUUCCGAAGAGGAUGGAACUAGACUGUUCUCAGUGGUGGCAGAUGACAGAACAAGGAGCAGUGGUCUCAAGUUGCAGCAAGGGAAGUUUAGGUCAAUUAUUGGGAAAAGCUUUCUCAUAGGGAGGGUAGGAAAGCACUGGAUCAUGUACCCAGAGAUGUUGUGGAAUCUCCAUCCCUGAAGUUUUUAAGACCCAGCUAGACAAAGCUUGGCUGGUAUGAUCUAGUUGGGGAUGGUCCUGCUUUGAGCAGGGGGUUGAACUACAUGACCUCCUGAGGUCCCUUCCAACCCUAAUUUUCUAUGAUUAUAUGAAAAACAUCUACUUUUCAUUAAAACAUUGCUAGAGGUGGAGAAUCCAGUCCAACUCUUGGUAGCUUGUUCUAAAGGUUAAUUACUCUUAUUGCCUGAUUUUUUUUAGUUUCAUCUUCUAGCUACUGCAUGCUCUUAUACCAGUGUGCAGGACUGAACAGCCCAUAAUCUAAGCUUUGUUACACAUACAGGAGUUACACACCAUGAGCGAGUUUCCUCUUAACCUUCUCUUUGAUAAGCCAAAUAAACUGAGUACCUUGAGUCUUUCCCCAGAAGGUAUGUUUUCCACAACUUUGAUCAUUCUUAUGGUUCUUCUCUGAAUCCUCUCCAUUUUUUCCACAUUCUUUAACACUGAGGAACCAAACCAGCAAGCAUCGAGGAAGUGAACCAGCAAUUCCAACGCUGGUGCCAAUGAGAAGGCUUCGGAUUCCUUGACCAUGGCAUGCACUUCAGGGAGAGAGGACUCCUGACAGCAUCCACCUCAUGAGGAAAGGCUGGAGAAGGGCCCCAGUCCCCAGCAGCCAGGGAUGGCUAAAUCAAUAGGAAAGCUGAUUUCUGGAGAUACUGACAGGACUUUCAGGUGGAAGCCAGAGGAAAAGGUGGGUCUGACCCUGAAGCAAGCCUUAGUUUUGGGGACCUUAAGGAAACAUCCAUUGCUACCAUUCUAUAGUAGCCUCUGGUUCAACUAACAUUAUACACAGUACCUCAGAUGUUCCUAUUCAUCAUAAACUGGGAAUUGUACCUACAUCCUUGUUUGCUUCUGGCAGAGGCGAUGGUUUAUGGGAAUUGUCCAACUGCAAUCUUAUGGUUCAAGUAUUCCCUGGAAAAACUGUUAGCGUGUAGCACAAAAGAUGGAAAAUACUGAUUCUGAUGGAGUUCAAUACACCAUGGUACCUGCACUCCAUUUGCUUCCUGCUUAUGUACCUGUGUUAAGAUGGCACAAAAGGAACGCACUAGGAAGGUUGUUUUCUAGUUAACUUGUGCUCAAUCCUCCAACUGCAGCAGUAGCAAAGAAAAGCUGAGCAUGGUUGCCUGAUUCUGCUUCUCCUUUUGUCCGUGUGAAAACCUCUAUCAACUACAUACAAGCAGGAUCAGUCCACUUUUAUAAAUAUAGGGCCAGGUAUUAAUUUAGUGCUGAACAGUCUAGUUUCACUAUGAAAUAUGCUUCACUUGGAAGUGUUCAGAGGGAAGGCAUAAUAGGGGCACUUGCAGAACAUACUUCCUCAUACAGUUGCACCAAUCUAGGUUUUGUAGAAUGAGAUUUCUAUGCCUUUUCACUCUGGGCUCUUUGCUGAAUGUACUGAGAAAUCCUACAGUCUUUGUUUUUUUUUUUUUAAGAAGCCCUCUGCCACAUAACUUGUUUCUGUACUUAUAGACAUGGGUGGAUCUAAAAUUUUGAAAAAGGGGGUGCAGAUGGUAUGGUGCAACAUCACAUAUAACACGACACACUUUUCUCCAGGUAAAAAUAAAUUAGAAGCUUCACUAGUAUGCCAGGGGCCAUAUUCAGUUUAAGAUGAAAGCAAAAAUGAAUAUAACUUUACUGGAAUAUACACUAGUUUGCUAGAUUAUAUGUUAAAUCAAAAGAUUAUUAGUCCUGUAGUCAUUGUAUUUAAAUGUACAUCUCUUAUUCAGAUUUGUAAUAUCAAAACUAGCUUCCUUGAGCAUCUUGAUGGUGUAUCCCAUGCUUCACUAUCAAUCAUUUUCACACUUGAGUUGAUGUUCACCUGCAUUAAUAUUACCACACCUAAGUAUCACAACCCAAAGUUGUGAUUUUUUGUUUGUGUGUGCUUCGACACUGCUAAAUUAUUUUUCCCGCUAAAUUGCAGCUUCUUUGCACGGUGGAGUUUGCUGCUGCAGAAGAGAACCCUGGUGCAACGGAGAAUUUCCCGCCAAUUUGAAGCUUUCUUCGCAUGGUGCAUUUCUUUUACAUCUAAGAAAAUGCUCGGUGCAAGGAGUUCCAGCCAUUUGUAUGAGAAUUCGUGCCACAUUAUUGGCCGAUUCUAAUACAUGCACACGUGGCGGCUAGCGAUUGGCUUGUUAGCCGUAUAAAGGGCUUGGGUGGUUUCCGCCCAAGUUGGAGAGAGAGCAAUUGGAGUUCGAGAGGGAGAGCGUGAAGAUCUCUGAGCGCUGCAGAUUCUUACGGACCCAACGCUUUUCUUAAAAGGCAACAGAGGCCUGAUAACCGAACCCGCGGAGCUUCAACAACUCCAGGGAAAAGAACGAACAGCCUCUAGCCUCUCCCCAUUGCCGAUAAAUUCCUAGAUGUAUCCCUUCCUGUACGAGAAACUACCGAACCCGCGGAGCUUCAAUAACUCCGGGGCAAAGAACGAAUUGUCGUAGUCCUCUAAUGAGGAUUUAAGCGGAGCUGAACCUGGAAACUGUCCAGCCUACACCACAACCAUCUUUGGUGUAAGUAAACAAUCUUUAAAUCAA
Alligator mississippiensis (American alligator) is the source of this 3601-nucleotide long non-coding RNA. RefSeq lists it as uncharacterized. The record is from RefSeq and is a predicted model, not a curated record. The transcript is spliced from 8 exons. Lineage: Eukaryota; Metazoa; Chordata; Crocodylia; Alligatoridae.